RNAcentral lists this ribosomal RNA (491 nucleotides) under uncultured bacterium. RNAcentral's name for it is "bacterial SSU rRNA". It matches the Rfam family "Bacterial small subunit ribosomal RNA", at positions 28 to 507 of the family's 1533-position model. The record is from RNAcentral.
GAUGAACGCUAGCUACAGGCUUAACACAUGCAAGUCGAGGGGAAACGAUAGAGAAGCUUGCUUUUUCUAGGCGUCGACCGGCGCACGGGUGAGUAACGCGUAUCCAACCUGCCCACCACUUGGGGAUAACCUUGCGAAAGUAAGACUAAUACCCAAUGACGUCUCUAGAAGACAUCUGAAAGAGAUUAAAGAUUUAUCGGUGAUGGAUGGGGAUGCGUCUGAUUAGCUUGUUGGCGGGGUAACGGCCCACCAAGGCGACGAUCAGUAGGGGUUCUGAGAGGAAGGUCCCCCACAUUGGAACUGAGACACGGUCCAAACUCCUACGGGAGGCAGCAGUGAGGAAUAUUGGUCAAUGGACGAGAGUCUGAACCAGCCAAGUAGCGUGCAGGAUGACGGCCCUAUGGGUUGUAAACUGCUUUUAUAAGGGAAUAAAGUGGGAGUCGUGACUCUUUUUGCAUGUACCUUAUGAAUAAGGACCGGCUAAUUCCGUG